AGUGAACGCUGGCGGUAGGCCUAACACAUGCAAGUCGAACGGCAGCACAGUAAGAGCUUGCUCUUACGGGUGGCGAGUGGCGGACGGGUGAGGAAUACAUCGGAAUCUACUUUUUCGUGGGGGAUAACGUAGGGAAACUUACGCUAAUACCGCAUACGACCUACGGGUGAAAGCAGGGGAUCUUCGGACCUUGCGCGAUUGAAUGAGCCGAUGUCGGAUUAGCUAGUUGGCGGGGUAAAGGCCCACCAAGGCGACGAUCCGUAGCUGGUCUGAGAGGAUGAUCAGCCGCACAGGAACUGAGACACGGUCCAGACUCCUACGGGAGGCAGCAGUGGGGAAUAUUGGACAAUGGGCGCAAGCCUGAUCCAGCCAUACCGCGUGGGUGAAGAAGGCCUUCGGGUUGUAAAGCCCUUUUGUUGGGAAAGAAAAGCAGCAGGUUAAUACCCCGCUGUUCUGACGGUACCCAAAGAAUAAGCACCGGCUAACUUCGUG
Molecule: ribosomal RNA, 492 nt
Filed under: uncultured bacterium
Lineage: Bacteria
Description: partial 16S ribosomal RNA
Rfam family: Bacterial small subunit ribosomal RNA
Source: RNAcentral